AGGUUACUGCUAUCGGUGUUCGCCUAAGCCAUGCGAGUCAUAUGUUCGUAAGAACAUGGCGUACUGCUCAGUAACACGUGGAUAACCUGCCCUUGGGUCCGGCAUAACCCCGGGAAACUGGGGAUAAUUCCGGAUAACGCACAUAUGCUGGAAUGCUUUAUGCGUAAAAUGGAUUCGUCUGCCCAAGGAUGGGUCUGCGGCCUAUCAGGUAGUAGUGGGUGUAAUGCACCUACUAGCCUACGACGGGUACGGGUUGUGAGAGCAAGAGCCCGGAGAUGGAUUCUGAGACAUGAAUCCAGGCCCUACGGGGCGCAGCAGGCGCGAAAACUUUACAAUGCGGGAAACCGUGAUAAGGGGACACCGAGUGCCAGCAUCCUAUGCUGGCUGUCCGGGUGUGUAAAAUACACCUGUUAGCAAGGGCCGGGCAAGACCGGUGCCAGCCGCCGCGGUAACACCGGCGGCCCGAGUGGUGAUCGUGAUUAUUGGGUCUGAAGGGUCCGUAGCCGGUUUGGUCAGUCCUCCGGGAAAUCUGACAGCUCAACUGUUAGGCUUUCGGA
RNAcentral lists this ribosomal RNA (557 nucleotides) under uncultured archaeon. Its description in RNAcentral is "bacterial SSU rRNA". It matches the Rfam family "Archaeal small subunit ribosomal RNA", at positions 21 to 578 of the family's 1478-position model. The record is from RNAcentral.